AGCGAACGCUGGCGGCGUACUUAACACAUGCAAGUCGAACGGGGAUCGUCGGGUUAGCAAUAAUUCGGCGGUCCUAGUGGCGCACGGGUGAGUAACACGUGGGUAACCUGCCCUUGAGUU
This 120-nucleotide ribosomal RNA is filed under the name uncultured bacterium. Its description in RNAcentral is "partial 16S ribosomal RNA". It matches the Rfam family "Bacterial small subunit ribosomal RNA", at positions 29 to 138 of the family's 1533-position model. The record is from RNAcentral.